This 1638-nucleotide long non-coding RNA is filed under the name Salvia miltiorrhiza (redroot sage). RNAcentral's name for it is "long non-coding RNA (SMIL_LNC010387)". Lineage: Eukaryota; Viridiplantae; Streptophyta; Magnoliopsida; Lamiales; Lamiaceae. The record is from RNAcentral.
AGGUGAACACUCACGGCCAAAAAUAUUGGCAUAGCCAUAACAGUUGCAGACGGAUAAGGUAAGCUAAAACCUAAACGUUUUGAAGUUGUCACAUGGCCGUGUAAGACAUUUGAACAGAGAUUUAAUAUUAAAUUCCCAGCAAAAUAAAUACAAGCAACAAAGAAUUGAGAAGUACAUGGCAGGUGUGAACACAGCUCGCAACAUGCAUUAUAGAAGAAUUAAAAUUACCAUGCACCAUACUCUAAAGCAAAGACAUGGAACAAAUAAACUAAAGGUAAGUGUGCAACCGAUACAAAUGAGCCCCCAAAAAAGAAAAAUACAAAGAAAGCUCAUCAGUAACCUUCUUUGAAAGCACACAUCUUCUUUUCGCCAUAACAAGAUAUCUGAAAAACAUGACCAAAGUCACAAAAUGAGAAUUCAGUAAUUUAGUUAGUGGUACAAUAAAAUAUGAAAAGAAAAUAGAGCACAAAAAUACUAUUUUGAGAACAAAGUAGGGUAGUGAUUUACAGAAGGUACAAUUAAUGGAUGAAAAGUGUUCCAGCAAACAAAUUCGAUGUGAGCAAAGACAAGCGGACCGUGAGGGCACCUGUUGAAAACCGGAAACCAAAAAUAGCAAUCUCCGUAUAACACAAAGUAACAAAUCCUUUAAAAACCUAAAGGCUAGAGGCAAUAACCCAAGUCCUAAUCCUAGAGUAAUGAAUCCCAUUCUCUAAACUUCAAAAUGAUUACUAUAACUAAACGAUCAUUGGGAAAUGACUUUUAAGUUUUAAAUACAAUGGAAGAGCGCAAAACACAUGAAAACAAAAUAUCACACCACAAAUAAAAAAUAGAACAAAACCAAGCGCACCGUUAAAUUUGAAGAAGUGGAAUAACUUUCUUGGUGUAGAAAGACAAAACGCUAAAAAACACAAAAUUAGAAAGUAAAAAUAAAUGUUGGAGAUCAUAAGAACGUAAAAUAUCCAACAGAAAAGGUGAGCAAGUCACCUAAUAGGAAAUUAGGAAUAAACUAUAGUACUCCUUAUUUAAUGAUGAAGCAUGUUUUUUUUUUUUUCAUUAGGGAAUAUCACUUCAUUUACAAUCACCAAUCCUGCUACGAAGGUAUUUCCUAAUUAAAAGUAGUUUUGCUUCAACUUUCCAAAGUUACGACCUUGUAGUUCAUUUCCAACGUCACUUAUAGAGUUCUAGUAGCUAUGCUAUUUACUUAAACCCAAUUUCAGUUACCAAUUUAUUGAAUUUGAUGAUUAUCCAGGUGGAGAGAUCAAUUAUUUGUUCAAUUGCUGUCAAAUUAUUUCAGACUCAGAAAAGGUGAGUCUAUUGUAUUGAGUUGGGCUAUAUGAUAGUAUACCUAAGAUUCUCCAGAGCUAUAGUUCUAUAUUUAUGAUGGUGUGUUAGUAUAUGAUCUAUUGGCAUAAUUUGUUGGUGUGUUUGAAAAAUUGAUGUUCCAUAGGCAAGCUCAAGUUGUUUAUACAUUUUAACAUGGACCAUAAAAACUAAUAAUACAUUUUAAUUUAUCGUGAUUUCAACGCGUAAGAGUAAAAUGCAUGUUAUGGAGACUUACUCAAGUGCAAGAUAAUGCUCACUACGCCCGUGGAGAUGUAACUCUUGAAGAAGUGAAUGUCGGUGAACGAGCACGUGUCU